ACAGCAGUAGCCGCGGUAAUGCGAAGGGGGCUAGCGUUGCUCGGAAUUACUGGGCGUAAAGGGAGCGUAGGCGGAUGUUUAAGUCAGAGGUGAAAGCCCAGGGCUCAACCUUGGAACUGCCUUUGAUACUGGACACCUUGAGUGUGGGAGAGGUAAGCGGAACUCCGAGUGUAGAGGUGAAAUUCGUAGAUAUUCGGAAGAACACCAGUGGCGAAGGCGGCUUACUGGCCCAUUACUGACGCUGAGGCUCGAAAGCGUGGGGAGCAAACAGGAUUAGAUACCCGCGUAGUCCCUGUCUCUUAUAC
RNAcentral lists this ribosomal RNA (305 nucleotides) under uncultured bacterium. RNAcentral's name for it is "partial 16S ribosomal RNA". It matches the Rfam family "Bacterial small subunit ribosomal RNA", at positions 508 to 807 of the family's 1533-position model. The record is from RNAcentral.